RNAcentral lists this transfer RNA (72 nucleotides) under Camelus bactrianus (Bactrian camel). It matches the Rfam family "tRNA". From Rfam's summary of the family: Transfer RNA (tRNA) molecules are approximately 80 nucleotides in length. Their secondary structure includes four short double-helical elements and three loops (D, anti-codon, and T loops). RNAcentral also lists the same sequence under 2 other names. The record is from Rfam by way of RNAcentral. Lineage: Eukaryota; Metazoa; Chordata; Mammalia; Artiodactyla; Camelidae.
GAGGGUAUAGCUAAGUGGUAGAUUGCAUGCUUAGCAUGCACGAAGUCCUGGGUUCAAUUCCUUGUACCGCCA